Haemorhous mexicanus (house finch) is the source of this 6565-nucleotide long non-coding RNA. RefSeq lists it as uncharacterized. The transcript has 9 exons. The record is from RefSeq and is a predicted model, not a curated record. NCBI's taxonomy places the organism in Eukaryota, Metazoa, Chordata, Aves, Passeriformes, Fringillidae.
GUGGGAAAUGUAAGGAAUUUUAUCUGAGAGAAAUUAGCAUACUAUUCUGAAGAACAUGAUAAGAUCUAAAUAUGCAGUUUUAUAGUAGCAGAUAUUUCAUCAGCACUUUUCUUGCAUGAGUUUGCUCAGUAAUUUUUUCUCUUUUCUGACACUUCUGUUUUAGAUCCAGUGAGUGUGAUACAAGAAGUGUAAGCCACCUGAGUUCUGUGGACUUCAGGGAAGUAACAUUAUUUUAUAUCAUCUCAGGAAGCUCUGUAUGAGAACAGGAAAAGGCCACGUGGCUGCUCUCCCUGUUUCAGUUCCUACAAAGCAUCUUAGACUUGAUAAAUUAAAAAAAAUGCUCUAGUGGCUUAUGUUUGGCAAUACUUUUGCAGAAGGUGGAGGUAAGGCUUAAAUACUAAAAAAGUCAGGAAGCCAUUUUUACCUGUGAUUCAGCAACUUUGGCAUUUCAGAAACGCAGCAAGAAGCUUUGGAGGGCUGAGAAAGCCCUGUAAGCUCUAGUGAAAGCAGUGUGCUCUGCUACUGAGCUCCCUGGACUGGCUGUGACAGGAAUCCAAAAUGCCAGAAUAUUGCCCAGUGUGCUGUUGUAACUGAUGAUUGCACACAAAAUGGGAGAAGGUAUUGGCAUGGCAGUGAUAAAAGUAUUAUUAGGAAAUAAACUCUGAAAGAAAAAAAAAAAAAUCUCACAUUUAAGAAGUAUUUUGAUACUUCCAGAACACAAGAGAGAUUGUGUUCUCUGGUGUGCAUACAUCAGUUUGUGCUAUUGUGUGUGCUGUGAAAUGAGAGUUUAAUAUAAAUGUAAGCACAAUCUUGCAUUGAGCAGUGAUUGAAAGGUUUACUUUCUUUUUUUUUUUUUUUCAGCUGUUCAUUUCUGCAGUAGAAACUGAAGUGACCAGUAUGGCAAUGUAAGGGGCAGGGAAAUGGAGAGUCCCAACUGGGCUCCCUCCCACUGGUCUGAGGGAAUUGGUAUUCACUGGGUAAUGUUGUAUCUUUGUGGAAAAUGCUGAAAGCUGAGAAACAAAAGGAAGCACAUUUGUUGUUCAGUGCUUAGUCCUUUUCUGUCACAAAGCAUGAAAUGAUAGUUUAGACCUUAGAAGUGAGGAGCAAUGAUACUGUAUGCAAACUGAAUCAAUUUUAAUGGAUUUUUUGGGAGAUCACAAUGACACUAUCCGCAGAAUCAUCAAAGUCACUGUGUGUGCAAAUAAUGCUUGUGAAUUUCUAAGUGGCAACAUUGACUGGGGGCUGUGGGGUUCCUUACAUGCUCAUAAGGUUCUGUGGCUUCUGGGCAUUACCCUGUCCACACUGGAAAGCCCAGAGGCAGAAGUCAAGCACUCCUUUGAGCAGCAAACUGAAAUUUUCUAAGCUGAAAUUCAGUUUCUGCUUCAGCUGUCAGACAUUGCACUGAUCUCAGCAGAUCACAGGAGGCACCUGCAGUUGCUAUGCUCAUGGCAUUCUUUCUUAUAGACAAGCUCUGAGAGAGCUGUGAUCAAAGAAAUAUCAUGUAUGAGGCUGUAAAAGACUAUUUCUCUAGUUCCUUUCAGCCAUGAAGCAGGGGAAGAGGACUUCAAGAUGCUAGUGCUGUUUCUUGCAACAGUGAUGAGCUGGUCAUCAUCAAAAGCUGGCAGUGAUCAAUAUCAAGCUGACAGUGAUCAGCUAAAUAAACCAAGCAGGCCUGCUCCAUGGUGUGCCUGAGCUCUGCAGCUGGGGCACAAGAGUGCCUUGGUUCAUUUCCAGAUACAGACCUGCUUUUCUGCUGUGGUGAGACCUCUGAAGUGGUGACCCACAACUCAACAUUCAGGAUUUUUGCUGUUGAUUUCCUUUUUUAUCUUCCUUUUACCUUUCUAUCUAAUUUCCAUAAGGUUGCUGUUCAUCCUACGUUACAGAAGAGCAAUUCAUUAAGAGCCAAGCUGUAGGUGAGUGGUCUGUAACACACUAUGAAAAAACCUCAAAAUGAAAAAAGUUCUAAGUGAAGGAGUUAUGUUUGAUGCCCAGUGGUUCUGAGAUAUCUAAUCAUAAAUCAGCAGCUGCACCAGUAAAGGACCUUCAAACUGUUGAUGUAAAAUCUUAAGUAUAUUGGGAAUUGCAAAUUUUCUGCCAUAAGAAAAUCACAGAACUUGAAAGGAUGACAUGAAGUUCUGUGUCUGUUAUGUGGUGAGGAAUAUGGUCAGAAAAAGAAAAGAACUUACUUUAAGUGCAAUAUCAAGUUGAAUAAAGCUUACCAAAGAAUAGGAGAAUAUUCAAGUUAAGGUACAGCAAAUAUGGGAAGGUAAAACAUAGAAUAAUUACUACUUACAUUUUCACUCUGUAACCAGACUUCUGUCAGGUUUUGCCAGCUAUGAAGCAGAAAGUGAUGAAGUUAGAAGCCAUGUAUUGAGCAUAGUCACUUCCACUGGAUUUAAUCCACAGAAUCAUUACUUUGAGCUCGGUUAAACUCGUUUCAGUGUUGGUUUUGGUCUUUUAUGGUUUGCCCAUUUAUUAUUUCUGUUUCUUAACUUCUCUUUGCUUUUUGCAAUGUGUGAAUAUUACGUGUUGUCACUUUUGCUAAGCUUCUUUUCAUUCAAAAGCACAGAAAAUACCAACACGUCAUCAGGAAGUGCUCAGAUGAGUGAAUUGAUCCAGUAGCUUAUUCAGUAAAAGUUGCAUAACAUCCAUUCACGUUCAUGCUUGCGAGUCAGCAGUGACUCACAGGUGAAAACACCACUGCAAAAUAUUGCAAAAAUGCUGGAUAUUUCUGCAAUAUGCUUUCUGAAGCAGAUAUUAUCAUGUCAGGUCAGUAAUAUGUUAAGCCUACUGGAGUAGUCAAUGCUCAAAAAUCAGCAUUUUCUAAUUGCAGAAUCAUUACAAAAAGAUAGGUUGUUUGGGUACAAUUGAUGAAUAAUGUUUGCUAUUGGGCAGUUGGUAUGUUUGUGUGAGACUGCAAACUGAAUUUGGAAUUGGGAGUUCUGUCAAUUUUUCUUCUGUCUCUCAGCUGAGCCACUGCAAAGAACAAAAGAAAGUCUUUCAGACAGCAUCAUGAGGUGGUGAAAUUCUGUAUAUUUCUGGGUAGUUGUGCAUCCCAGUGGAGCCUCUGUGAGUAAGAAAAUGGCUGCUUUUCAUGGCAAAAUGUUAUUUAUUAUCUGAAUCUGGACAUAAAGGUGAGAGUGUAAUGGAGAUUCAAGAGCAGUGAUUACAUGAUGAGGCUGAUGAGAGCUUAGCAAAGUAGCUACAAAUUAUACAUAAAAGCACCUCUGCUUAGCCUUUUUCUUUUAAGGAGACCCUACAGAUGCCUGAAAUCCAGGUACUUUGAUGGAGAUAGAAUGAGUUACCCCAUAAUAAUUCAUAGAUGCCAAAACUUAAUCCAUAUGGGAAGGUAAUCUAAACUAGAAAAAGGCACUCUCAAGUCCAACCAAGCAAUUUUCUUGUAGAAUGAGAACCGGGAGACCUUUGUGUUUUGAGAAUUUGAUCCUUGCAUUUUCAGAAAUGCCCAGGCACAGGUUUUUCUGACGCCCUAAAAUCAAAUACUUUUUACAACAUAGUUUAGGCCAAUAAAUGGAUUAAGUGGUAGACAUGCAAUUUAGGUGCUAUGUGUCCUAUGCAGACAGACUUCAGAGAGUUCUCUUGGGGUUUUUUUCAGGAACACUAGGUGACAGUGACAUCAUUUAACAUGACUGUUCUCCUCUCCUGAGUCAGUUCCUGAUGUAGAAGAUAGAUCAUAUCUCUAUAUCAGAGGACAGUUGCAGAAAAAUGUCAUCAAACUACAAAAAAGGCUCAGUUUGCAGAGUCAAGUACAGAAAUGAUCACACACAUGACUAAGUACUGUGCAGAAACUUACAGUUAUUUCCAGGAAAGCCAGGCAGAGGGGGAAAGCUGUGCAUGUCAUUUGGCACAGAAGCUGUACCAGCUGGUGCUCUGGCCCACAAGUGUCCCCAUCGUCCAGGAUGUCCCUGCAAAACCAUAUCAAGGCUCUCCAUUUCUGAGAGCACUGGGUUCAAAGACAUUUUGAAAAUUGGGCUCCUUUAGUGUAGUUUUGGAGACCUUUGACAUCAAUUUUGUAAAUUCUGGCUGUGGCUUCUUCUUUUAAAGCUAAGAGUAGUUUAGUUUACUACCUGAAAAUUUGUUCUGAAGCAGGCCUACGUGCUCCUUUGAGCUAUAUGAGAGUAAUUCCUUUUGAGCUCUGGAAAUAAUGUCUUGCCCAGAAAGCAUUACCUGAGUGCAGUGUGCAUUGCCCUUCACUCAGCACUGCUGAGGCUGCACUGCUGCACCUCCAAUAUUGCAUCCAGUUUUUGGGCCCCUUGCUACAAGAAGAACCUUGAGGUGCUGGAGUGAGCCCAGAGAAUGGCAACAGAGCCAGGGAAGGGUGUGGAGCACAAGUCUGAUGAGAGGGAGCUGGGGGUGUUUAGUUUCCGUUGUGGGGAGAAAGAGGCUUGGAGUGACCUUAUUGCCCUCUACAACUCCCUGAAAGGAGGGUGUAGCCAGGUGUCAACCUCCCAAAUAACAAGUGAAAGGACAAGAGGAAAUGGCCUCAAGUUGCAGUAAGGGUGAUUAUUAGUCUAGAAUAUAAACUAUUUCUGCAAAUAACUGACAACUUGAGGGUUUCAUCUCAGUGGAAAUCCCAAGAUAUGACUUUGAUAUUUUUUAAAUUUUUACCCUAUAUAAAAAAAGGAAAAAGGCCAAAUUAUAUCACCCUUGUGUUCCCAGCCUUCCUAAAGGGCAAUGAUUGGAGGAUGACAGACUCAAAUGCUUACUACAGAAGCAAGGACUCAAUGGGCUGUCACUAUUUAAUUUCAAUUUCUAGCAAACAUAUUCAAAACCAGCACAAGACUACCCAAUAAUUCACAUAAUACAGGAAUGCGGCAAGCUUUUACCUAAAGACAGCAUGUUGUCCCACACCACUCACUUCUUUAUUCAUUUCAACAUUUUAAUGUUGGUUUCCUAAAAUACUUUUGGGGAGUAUCAUGGCAACCAGCACAAUAAAUCAUUCCUCUUCUGCUGCCCUGAGAAAUUAUCCUUUUCCCCUCACUGAUGGCUACCAGCUAAAUUACGUAACAGGCAGAAGGCUGAUAAAAAUUGAAGACAUUUGUUCCACCUUUCCAAGCCCCUGACUCACCCCCUCCUCUCACUGCAGGUAAGCCAAGCACCAGAUGCUCUCCCUCUUCUCUUAGCCAAGAGCCCUGCUCUGAAAGGAGCAAGCCUUCUUCCACUCCAGCACUCACACAACCAACCUUCUACACUCGCCUCCUUCGAAAACUAAACCUCUUCUUCCUGUGUUCCAAACCCAGCUCUUUAGGACACAAAUGUUUUGCACUACCUUCGCUCCUGUCUGUCUCUCAGCCUCACUUUGCACCUGCUGAAUGGGGAAACACCUGGGUCUCCUGCUUAUUUUAACAGCAAGAUCUGUAGGCGGGACUUUACCCCAGCCCGCAACUACUACCAGCACUGCACUGCUUCCAACACCACAAGUCCCAGGCUUCCUGGAAGACAAGAGCCCUUGAAGAACUUUUCUGAAGAGCCUGAAAUCUCUGUUAUCAGAGAAUUAAACAGCCCUGAGGUUUCCACCAGCUUGCUGGAAAGAUGCACUUCUGCAAAUACUCAAGCAUACCUAAAUUAAAUUGAGUUAUGGCAGAAGGGCAAGAGGGGUGUUAAAAAGACAUUGGACAAGUAAAGAAAGAGACAUUGGCUGGAACACAGCUUCAAGGAAAAAUCCAGACCUGAGAGGUAAAAAGGCAGAAGACUUGGAAAGCAGAACCCCAAUUAAGGUUUCUCACCUGGGCAAUCCCCUAGCCCAAAGAAAAUCUGUUGUUUAGGGAUGAUGAGCUAUAGAGUGAACACUAUACUUGUGCAGCUACUUUGAAAUACACAGGCAUCUUCUUCACUUCUGUGGGUUCUGUGAGCUCCAGCCAGAAGGUACAGGCAGGACUAACUGUAGAGAUGCUGUGGCUUCUGCUGCAGGUGUUCAGCAGCAGGAAGACAAGAGAGGGUUUGAGAAGAGCUACUCACAGAUUGCACCAAACAUGCUAAGGCUGGUUUCAUUACGGAGGAUCAUCCUCACCAAUUGGCUACUACAAUACAAUGGUGGGCUCAGUGAAUCUGCCCCUAGAAACCCUGGGUGCGAUUGCACGUCUGUAGACUUUCGUUUGGCCAGAAGGUGCUUGGGAUUAAAGCUGUUCUAGGAUUUGGAAUGUGAUCCUUCUCUGCAAUGUGAAAUACAGAGGCACAAAUCAAAGAAGAGCUGCUCAACCCAUGCUGUGUUUUCUUUUUUACUGCCAAGAACUAGAUGUGCUGCUGAAUCUCAGGUUUACCAUCUCACUCGAUGGUUUGAAGCAGUGUGUCUGUUUGCUGUUGGGUUCACCAUGAAUAUGUAAUUUAACUGCAUAUAAAUCUCCACUCUGGGAACUGUGGUGCAAUAUUUUCAGCAUGCUGGAGAUUCAACUUUGAUGAUGCCUCUGAAAAAAAGUUCAAUGUGAGAAAUAAUCCCAAACCCAUAAAAAGUGAGAGUAUGUAUGUAUCUCUGUGCGGCCAAGGAGGUGGAGAUACAGAAAAAGAGCUGUUGGUGUAGAACUGGGUCUUCUCCCUUCAGAUGGAUCCA